Molecule: unclassified non-coding RNA, 221 nt
Filed under: soil metagenome
Description: partial contains 5.8S ribosomal RNA, internal transcribed spacer 2, and large subunit ribosomal RNA
Source: RNAcentral
AACGCACGAGACCUGCGGACCUGCGGAGGGAUCAUUAAUGAGUUGCAAAACUCCCUAAACCAUUGUGAACCUACCUGUACCGUUCCUUCGGCGGGCGGCGUCAAGCCCUAACCCGUCUCCCUUUACGGGGGAUGGACCCGCCGGAGGCUCCUAAACUCUUAACUUUUGUUGGCAUCUCUGAGUAAAUCAAAAUAAGUCAAAACUUUUAGCAACGGAUCUCU